RNAcentral lists this non-coding RNA (31 nucleotides) under Rattus norvegicus (Norway rat). The record is from RNAcentral. Lineage: Eukaryota; Metazoa; Chordata; Mammalia; Rodentia; Muridae.
UAAUCGGCCUUGUGCUUCUUAUCAUAUGCAC